AUGUCUAGAGGGUAUUUAAUAGGUCUGCCCCCACGUACAAUGUUUCUAGUUACAAGUAGCCUAGUCGUUCAUUCAAGUCAUUAUUCAGCUAAAGCACAUGCAGUAAGUUUGCCACAAAGCACAGGCAGAAGUAGCCUAAUAAUUGUGAAAAAUAAGACAUUUAAAUUUUUAAUGAAUAAACUAAUGUUUUCUUGUCAGCUGCAAGAUGAAAUUCACAGUGCUGACUCUCAUCUCCACAGGAUGCGCAUAAUCAGGGAAAUGUCUCCUUUUUUUACAAUUAUUGGGCUACUUCUGCUAAUGCAUGUGCUUGAGCGCGAAAUAUAUUAAGGCUCAUUAUGGAUUAUAUAUGUAAAUGUAGUAUAAUCCUGCGAUUAGUUGAAUAAUGACAAAUGAACGACUAGUAACUAGAAAAAUCUUACAUGGGAGGCAGACCUAUUAAAUACCCUCUAGACAUCUCUGUUAAAGUUUUUAAAGCAUUUUAUACACGUUUGCAUAAAUUCUUCUUUCAGAACGGUCUGUAACGGAGAGAUGCCUUAACACUGAUUUUUCCUCUGAAACACAAAAACGAAAAUUGAAAUAAAAUUGAUUUUUUUUUUUUUUUAGAAUGGCCAACCCUUCUCAGCAGAUAUUGUUGCUUCUGGUUUGUGCAUUUUAAAUAGGCUAUUUGAUCCGUUGUCCUUGUGGUAUAGGCUAUGUGGGAAAAACGUCACGUCAGUUGAAACAAAGAAUUAGUGAACAUAAGAGACAUUGAAUUACUUCUACAAAGACGCGAACUGUUUUGGAUUUACACCCUCCAAACUUUAUCACCUAUGGGUAUGAACGAUGAAGCAUUAUUUAAUGUAAUGCUAUAGUCAUGCAAUUGUUUUGAAUGAGGUGUUCUUUUCCACUAUGUAUUCAUGAUGAGUUUGAGUGACUGUGGAACCUGACUGAUUGUUAUAACUGUUUAGAAUUACAAUUUGAUGCUGUUUGAUGACGAUGUGUUGAUUGUGUCUUUUGGAUGAAUUUGUUAACCUAUAGGUGAUCUGGAUUGUUGUAACUAUAACAACUGUUUAUGAUGUGGUGCUAAUUAUAUACUCCCAAUGAGUUUAAUUAUUUGCAGAUGGAACUCUGUUAAUUGGUCAUGUGUUUAUCUUAAAAGAGAUGAAUUUGAACAUUUGUAUACUCCUGAUGAAGGUCGUGUGACCGAAACGUUGUGUGAUUAAAAAUUUAUUUUGCAAGUUAAGAUAGUGUGCGGGAGAUCCUUAUAUGUUUAUACGACCCACCAGGUCUUAUUUUUUCUACGCACCUAUUACUUACAGGUGUGCGAUGGAGUUCGUUCACUAAAUAGGCUACAAAAAAAAAAAAAAAUAAUAAUAAUAAUAAUAAUAUUAAUAAUAAUAAUGUCUCCAAAAACUAAAAAAAAAAAUUUUUGUCAUGUCUGUAAUGCAUGUGUAUUCCCAAAUCUAAAAAAGCCUAUAAAACAUGAUAGACGGAUCAUACUGAUGUCUGGACUCUGUUUGGGAUUUAGAAAAACAUAAAGAGAUGGUUCAAUAUAUUGGUUAUAGGCUACAUUCUGUGAGAAUUUAUAUUUCAUAGUCUAAAAAAAAAUAUUGUUUAGACGAAACAAAAUAAAAUUAAAGCAACAGUUUGCGAAUUUAUUUAUUUAUUUAUUUAUUUUUGAGUUAAGGCAACUUCCUCUGAAGUUAUAAUAACUAAUAAACUAUAUUGCGCUAUACAGUAGUCAACAUUUGAAGUGGAUCAAAACCUUUCUUCAAAGUUGCCCUAAAACCAAAAUGACGAGUCCUAUCUAAACCUGUUCUGCAAGUUUGAUACCCUCAUAAGACACUGUGCAUAUGAAAGACCAAGAGAUUCACACAUUUAUAUCAACCCCCACAAGCUAUACAGAACUACCCCAACCCCCUCCAGCUGAACUGAACUCGGUCUGUUUGUUGGCUGCGAGGAACGGUGUGUUGUCAUGUUACUGGGUUGAAACAUGCCUGCACUCACAGCAGACCUACUCUUUUUAUUCAUUAUUUUCCCGCAGCCCAUAUUAUUGUUUUUCACAAGACCAUAAUAAUAACAAAUUAUCAAUUGAUAAUUAAUCAUUAUUUUACGAAAAUCAUUGUUAUUUGUGAACGUAGAGUUUGCGGAAGGCUUUAAGACCAAGUGGAGUCCUCCAUCAGCUGCUCCCGCUUCACAGCGCGCGGGACUCGCGCUCACUGACCCAGCUUCAAAGUCCGCAAGUAGCAAGACAGAAGACGUAUUUCAUUGUCAGUUAAUGCUGUUAAUUAGAGAGUUAAAUAGAGAGAGAGAGCGAGAGAGAGAGAGAGAAAUAAAAAAAACCCCGUGUUGGCUAUUCCUAAACUCGGAGCUCAUUAUUGAAGUACAAAUCCAAACACCAGAAGCAAACUCUCAGUGUUCUUUCAUUGAAAAGUAUGCAUUUUGUUUAUUCACAGGCUAUAUGGUUGAAAUAAUAUUUUAGUUCAAAACUUUAAGUGCCAUUGUUUAAAAAAAAUGCUUUAUUGGGUAACGUUUCAUAGACCU
Long non-coding RNA from Cyprinus carpio carpio, 2523 nucleotides. The record is from Ensembl. NCBI's taxonomy places the organism in Eukaryota, Metazoa, Chordata, Actinopteri, Cypriniformes, Cyprinidae.